Long non-coding RNA from Phascolarctos cinereus (koala), 436 nucleotides. RefSeq lists it as uncharacterized. The record is from RefSeq and is a predicted model, not a curated record. NCBI's taxonomy places the organism in Eukaryota, Metazoa, Chordata, Mammalia, Diprotodontia, Phascolarctidae.
UAUUUGGAGAGGACUGAACCCCACCUCAUAGUCAUUUGGCAAAGUUUAUGUCUCUGGGUGAAGUAACAGAAGGGGUGGCAGAGCAGCCUGGCAUCUUUCAUUUGGGCCAAUAAUGCUUGACUGAGGCAUGGUGAGGAAGAAGCUUGGGGCCAUUAAAAGAGCUGUUUAAUUUCCCAAAGAAAACCAGGUGGAGCAUUGGCACUUUGGUGCACAGUGGAGUUGCCUGUGAAAUGUCCCGAUAUCCAUGGCUUCCUUGCUCUCUUUUGCCAUUUUUGUCCAGGUGGAUGGAGGGUGAUGUUAAUCAUGACUGUGAGAAGAAGUGGUGGCUGGUGGGGACAGAAACUCCAUUGACAUAUUCUGGAAUAUUCCCUCAAGCUCAGAGACUACUUUUUUCUGGAAGGCAAGUUGUGAUGACAUUUAUUUAACCAAUAUUUGC